Molecule: non-coding RNA, 630 nt
Filed under: Pan troglodytes (chimpanzee)
Lineage: Eukaryota; Metazoa; Chordata; Mammalia; Primates; Hominidae
Source: RNAcentral
CCAGAUGGCAUCCCAUCAUCCGCAGCAUCUCUCAACCUUUAUCUCCUAUCUCCUGCCUCAUCUCCUUCCUAAGUAAAGAACACCUUCCAACUCAACAUAAGGCAGCUACAGGUUGGAGUGCAAUGGCGCAAUCUUGGCUCACGACAACCUCCGCCUCCCGGGUAUAAGUGAUUCUCCUGCCUCGGCCUCCCGAGUAGCUGAGAUUACAGCCUUAAACCGAUUAAAUGAAGUCUUGACAGCCAGCAGCCUGCAUCCACUACAGAAAAAACGACACCUUGAAUCACACCUUCACUUGAAUUCAGUUGAGUUCCAGUGACUACCACCUCUGUGCUUUGUCAACUUUGGGUUGAGUCCUUUCCUGAAAACACAUCAGUGUAACUAAGAAGUCACUGCUGUUUCUUGGAGUUGGGUUGGAAUAGUUGGAGUGGGAGCCAGGAUGGUUGGAAAACAAACCACACAUAUUGCUGCUUCUGGAAGCUUUGUUCUUUAAUGAGCCAUGGGGUGAUUUGUUCAUCAAGCUGCUUUUGUGUAGCCAUACAGUGCAUAUUUUGAGUGACACAAACUGCACUUUAUACAGAUGAUAUCUUGUUACCCCUCAACCCCCUGGCAAAGAAAAAAAAACAAAAAGGA